AUUGGUUCUUGAAUGAAACAGUAGUUUCAGGAGGCUCUUAAAAAUAAAUGAAGAAGGUCCACCAGGGUAUAAAUGCAGAAAGAAUAGACUAUAUAAAGACAGUUAAUAGAAUUAAUGAAAUAAGCAGUGGGCCAAUGAAGGAUCCCAUUGAUGUACCUCCAACUGUUCGUGCAGACGCCUCUGGACAUCUAAUUGCAGUUGCAGUGCCUCUGUGAUUUGCAUGCCACUGCUAAAUAUGCGAGAGGAUUAAGCCUAUGACAAUAAAUAAAAAUAUUGCAUACAUAUAUGCCAAAUAUAUUAGACAUACGUUUUUGCAUUGAUCGGCG
RNAcentral lists this unclassified non-coding RNA (326 nucleotides) under Hevea brasiliensis (rubber tree). The record is from RNAcentral. Lineage: Eukaryota; Viridiplantae; Streptophyta; Magnoliopsida; Malpighiales; Euphorbiaceae.